GAUGUAGAACGUAGCGAAAUGCGAUAAGUAAUGUGAAUUGCAGAAUUCAGUGAAUCAUCGAAUCUUUGAACGCACAUUGCGCCCGCCAGUAUUCUGGCGGGCAUGCCUGUCCGAGCGUCAUUUCAACCAUCAAGCCCCGGGCUUGUGUUGGGGACCUGCGUCCGACGCAGGCCCUGAAAACCAGUGGCGGGCUCGCUGUCCACACCGAGCGUAGUAACUAACCUCGCUAUGGAGUGGCGCGGGCGCCUGCCGUAAAACCCCCAAUUUCACAAGGUUGACCUCGGAUCAGGUAGGAAUACCCGCUGAACUUAAGCAUAUCAAUAAGCGGAGGA
RNAcentral lists this unclassified non-coding RNA (332 nucleotides) under soil metagenome. Its description in RNAcentral is "partial contains 5.8S ribosomal RNA, internal transcribed spacer 2, and large subunit ribosomal RNA". The stretch from base 1 to 120 matches the Rfam family "5.8S ribosomal RNA", at positions 35 to 154 of the family's 154-position model. The record is from RNAcentral.